RNAcentral lists this ribosomal RNA (460 nucleotides) under uncultured bacterium. RNAcentral's name for it is "bacterial SSU rRNA". It matches the Rfam family "Bacterial small subunit ribosomal RNA", at positions 338 to 795 of the family's 1533-position model. The record is from RNAcentral.
CCUANGGGUGGCAGCAGUAGGGAAUAUUGGACAAUGGCUGAAAAGCUGAUCCAGCCAUCCCGCGUGAAGGCAGAAGGUCCUUUGGAUUGUAAACUUCUUUUCUCUGGGAAGAAAUCACGGGUUUCUACCUGUGUUGACGGUACCAGAGGAAUAAGCACCGGCUAACUCCGUGCCAGCAGCCGCGGUAAUACGGAGGGUGCAAGCGUUAUCCGGAUUCACUGGGUUUAAAGGGUGCGUAGGCGGGCUUGUAAGUCAGUGGUGAAAGCCCGGGGCUCAACUCCGGAACUGCCAUUGAUACUGCAGGCCUUGAGUACAGUUGAGGUGGGCGGAAUACAUCAUGUAGAGGUGAAAUUCUUAGAUAUGAUGUAGAACACCGAUUGCGAAGGCAGCUCACUAAAGUGUAACUGACGCUGAGGCACGAAAGCGUGGGGAUCAAACAGGAUUAGAUACCCGGNUAGUC